AGUGAACGCUGGCGGUAGGCCUAACACAUGCAAGUCGAACGGCAGCACAGUAAGAGCUUGCUCUUACGGGUGGCGAGUGGCGGACGGGUGAGGAAUACAUCGGAAUCUACUUUUUCGUGGGGGAUAACGUAGGGAAACUUACGCUAAUACCGCAUACGACCUACGGGUGAAAGCAGGGGAUCUUCGGACCUUGCGCGAUUGAAUGAGCCGAUGUCGGAUUAGCUAGUUGGCGGGGUAAAGGCCCACCAAGGCGACGAUCCGUAGCUGGUCUGAGAGGAUGUUCAGCCACACUGGAACUGAGACACGGUCAAGACUCCUACGGGAGGCAGCAGUGGGGAAUAUUGGACAAUGGGCGCAAGCCUGAUCCAGCCAUACCGCGUGGGUGAAGAAGGCCUUCGGGUUGUAAAGCCCUUUUGUUGGGAAAGAAAAGCAGCAGGUUAAUACCCCGCUGUUCUGACGGUACCCAAAGAAUAAGCACCGGCUAACUUCGUG
This 492-nucleotide ribosomal RNA is filed under the name uncultured bacterium. Its description in RNAcentral is "partial 16S ribosomal RNA". It matches the Rfam family "Bacterial small subunit ribosomal RNA", at positions 29 to 507 of the family's 1533-position model. The record is from RNAcentral.